This 317-nucleotide long non-coding RNA is filed under the name Homo sapiens (human). RNAcentral's name for it is "HSALNT0232270". The record is from RNAcentral. Lineage: Eukaryota; Metazoa; Chordata; Mammalia; Primates; Hominidae.
UGCUGCUAGGGCAUGAGAGGCUGGGAAGGGAGGACUGGGCUGUCUCCUGCUUCAGCCAACAAAGUGAAUCAGACAAAGAAUGAGGCUGAACUCAUCAAGGAUGCUGUAGAACCACAUGGACAUAAUCACAUAAUCAUGGUCCUUAAAGAAUUUUAAAUGUUUUUUUUCUUUAUCUGAUGGCUCCAUUGCAGACAGACUUGGCUGUGUCCACACCAGAGCAUGAGACCGUCACUGUUUUUUGGUUAUGUCAGUGAACUAUCUUCACUCCCUCCCACCAAGAAGCAUAGGAAUGUAUUCACCACCAGAUUAAAACCAGC